Neocloeon triangulifer is the source of this 1050-nucleotide long non-coding RNA. RefSeq lists it as uncharacterized. NCBI's taxonomy places the organism in Eukaryota, Metazoa, Arthropoda, Insecta, Ephemeroptera, Baetidae. The record is from RefSeq and is a predicted model, not a curated record. The transcript is spliced from 5 exons.
AUUACAGCUGGAUUACAGAACCCGUAAACAAAUCUAAGCAUGCGAAAUCAUUUCUCGCGAAAGAAACCCAUGUGUUUCGCUCGUCAGCGGCCGAUCGCCGACUUUCCGUGAUUGAAUUCAUGAAUUAAUUAAUGCUGGAAAAUAAUUUUAUAUUUUUAACGCCACGUCGACCGAAUUUUCCGUCAGAAAAUAACGUGUGAUAUAUAGCUGGAGUCAUGAUGAGCACUCUUAGGUCUCUUCAGAGCAAACAUGGCCUAAAUGGAGAAGAAUCCCCAGAUUUUUAAACCUUAAAAGGCGCGCCUGCCUUGGCUUGGGAGCCUCUGGUUUGCAUUUGCUUCGACACGUCAGGCAAAGUGUACCCUGAUUUUUGGCGCUGACAAAGGUUCUCUACAUUUUUGCCAGCAAAAUGAAUGAUUUAGCCAGAGAGACAUUUAGCAGACGACACUUGAAACAAAUGUCAAGAUUUGUGUGGCUUUCUUCAACCAUCCAGAGGGAUUCUGGAGACCACACUGAACAAACACAAGCUUGAUUUCUUCUCACAGUUGCACCAUCAUGGAAAAAGAAGAUCUUCGAAUCUCGCCACGAGUUCAACCUCCAGGUGCACAAAACCAAACGCAGAAACCACGGCACGGUGCAACAGUUCGCGAACGAUUGUCUCUUUUUUUUAAAGUCCAGCUGAUGCGAAAAGUCGCGGGCUGCGGGCAGAACUGAGGAACGUGUGACGGAGUGCAGUGGGUGAGUGAGUUGCAGUGAGUGGGUAGAAGAGAGCAGUGCGCCGCUGGGGAUGUGGCGAUACCGAGCUAUCACCCGUCACUGCCUCAUGCACCCUCGAUGCCUCGCUCGCUCUCUCGACGAGGCGUGCGCCGUUCCUCGCCGAGAGGCGCCACUUCGCUCGCGCCGCUCAAACUACACCAAAAACGACAAACUCAUUCAGAAAAACCUGCUUAUUUUGCAAAUUUAAAAUGAAAUAUAAUGCAAUUCAAAAUUUAAAAAUCAUUUGAAAUAAUAAAUAAAACGGAUGGUUAAUUCUUAUGAUUUUUUUAAAGACAA